UACAGAGGUCUCAACCGUUGUUCGGAUUCAUUGGGCGUAAAGGGUGCGUAGGCGGUCGCGUAAGUCGGAUGUGAAAUCCCAGGGCUCAACCCUGGAACUGCAUUCGAUACUGCGUGGCUAGGGUACUGGAGAGGAGACUGGAAUUUACGGUGUAGCAGUGAAAUGCGUAGAUAUCGUAAGGAAGACCAGUGGCGAAGGCGAGUCUCUGGACAGUUACCGACGCUGAGGCACGAAGGUCAGGGGAGCAAACGGG
RNAcentral lists this ribosomal RNA (253 nucleotides) under uncultured bacterium. RNAcentral's name for it is "partial 16S ribosomal RNA". It matches the Rfam family "Bacterial small subunit ribosomal RNA", at positions 524 to 776 of the family's 1533-position model. The record is from RNAcentral.